GAUGAACGCUGGCGGCGUGCCUAAUACAUGCAAGUCGAGCGAACGGACGAGAAGCUUGCUUUUCUGAUGUUAGCGGCGGACGGGUGAGUAACACGUGGAUAACCUACCUAUAAGACUGGGAUAACUUCGGGAAACCGGAGCUAAUACCGGAUAAUAUUUUGAACCGCAUGGUUCAAAAGUGAAAGACGGUCUUGCUGUCACUUAUAGAUGGAUCCGCGCUGCAUUAGCUAGUUGGUAAGGUAACGGCUUACCAAGGCAACGAUGCAUAGCCGACCUGAGAGGGUGAUCGGCAACACUGGAACUGAGACACGGUCAAGACGCCUAAGGGAGGCAGCAGUAGGGAAUCGUCCGCAAUGGGCGAAAGCCUGACGGAGCAAGGCCGCGUGAGUGAUGAAGGUCUUCGGAUCGUAAAAACCUGUUAUUAGGGAAGAACAGAUGUGUAAGUAACUGUGCACAGAGUGACGGUACCUAAUCAGAAAGCCACGGCUAACUACGUG
This 497-nucleotide ribosomal RNA is filed under the name uncultured bacterium. RNAcentral's name for it is "partial 16S ribosomal RNA". It matches the Rfam family "Bacterial small subunit ribosomal RNA", at positions 28 to 507 of the family's 1533-position model. The record is from RNAcentral.